RNAcentral lists this ribosomal RNA (231 nucleotides) under uncultured bacterium. RNAcentral's name for it is "partial 16S ribosomal RNA". It matches the Rfam family "Bacterial small subunit ribosomal RNA", at positions 99 to 334 of the family's 1533-position model. The record is from RNAcentral.
CGGACGGGUGAUAAUGUCUGGGAAACUGCCCGAUGGAGGGGGAUAACUACUGGAAACGGUAGCUAAUACCGCAUAACGUCGCAAGACCAAAGAGGGGGACCUUCGGGCCUCUUGCCAUCGGAUGUGCCCAGAUGGGAUUAGCUAGUAGGUGGGGUAAUGGCUCACCUAGGCGACGAUCCCUAGCUGGUCUGAGAGGAUGACCAGCCACACUGGAACUGAGACACGGUCCAG